Molecule: ribosomal RNA, 361 nt
Filed under: uncultured bacterium
Lineage: Bacteria
Description: partial 16S ribosomal RNA
Rfam family: Bacterial small subunit ribosomal RNA
Source: RNAcentral
ACUACGGGAGGCAGCAGUGAGGAAUAUUGGUCAAUGGCCGGAAGGCUGAACCAGCCAUGCCGCGUGAAGGUCAGUGCCCUAUGGGCGUUAAACUUCUUUUGUUCGGGAGCAAUAAUGGUCACGUGUGGCCAGACGAGAGUACCGUACGAAUAAGCAUCGGCUAACUCCGUGCCAGCAGCCGCCGUAAUAUGCGGGAUGCAAGCCUUAUCCGGAUUUAAUGGGUUUAAAGGGUGCGUAUGCGGUGAGGUAAGUCAGCGGUGAAAUGCCCCCGCUCAACGGGGUGAAGUGCAAUUGAUACUGGCUUGCUGGAAUGCGGAUGCAGUGGGAGUAAUGUGUGGUGUAGCGGUGAAAUGCAUAGCUA